RNAcentral lists this ribosomal RNA (468 nucleotides) under uncultured bacterium. Its description in RNAcentral is "partial 16S ribosomal RNA". It matches the Rfam family "Bacterial small subunit ribosomal RNA", at positions 29 to 507 of the family's 1533-position model. The record is from RNAcentral.
UACUAACUCUGGCGGCGUGCUUAACACAUGCCAGUCGAACGGAAAUGCCCUGCUUUUGUGGGGUGCUCGAGUGGCGAACGGGUGAGUAACACGUGAGUAACCUGCCCUUGACUUUGGGAUAACUUCAGGAAACUGGGGCUAAUACCGGAUAGGAGCUCCUGCUGCAUGGUGGGGGUUGGAAAGUUUCGGCGGUUUGGGCUGGACUCGCGGCUUAUCAGCUUGUUGGUGGGGUAGUGGCUUACCAAGGCUUCGACGGGUAGCCGGCCUGAGAGGGUGACGGGCCACAGUGGGACUGAGAUACGGCCCGGACGCCUACGGGAGGCAGCAGUGGGGGACAGUGCGCGAUGGGCGGAAGGCGGAUGCAGCGACGCCGCGUGCGGGAUGACGGCCGUCGGGUUGUAAAACGCUUUCGCCGGUGACGAAGCGUGAGUGACGGUAAUGGGUAAAGAAGCACCGGCUAACUACGUG